AUCAGCCGCCAUAUCACCCUGUAGCCCAAGACUGGUUGCCCACUGAAGCUAAGCAGGGCUGAGCCUGGUCAGUACCUGGAUGGGAGACCUCCUGGGAAAACUAGGUUGCUGCUGGAA
RNAcentral lists this ribosomal RNA (117 nucleotides) under Sinocyclocheilus grahami. The record is from RNAcentral. Lineage: Eukaryota; Metazoa; Chordata; Actinopteri; Cypriniformes; Cyprinidae.